RNAcentral lists this ribosomal RNA (405 nucleotides) under uncultured Lactobacillus sp. Its description in RNAcentral is "bacterial SSU rRNA". It matches the Rfam family "Bacterial small subunit ribosomal RNA", at positions 976 to 1382 of the family's 1533-position model. Lineage: Bacteria; Bacillati; Bacillota; Bacilli; Lactobacillales; Lactobacillaceae. The record is from RNAcentral.
AGGUCUUGACAUCUUCUGCCAACCUAAGAGAUUAGGCGUUCCCUUCGGGGACAGAAUGACAGGUGGUGCAUGGUUGUCGUCAGCUCGUGUCGUGAGAUGUUGGGUUAAGUCCCGCAACGAGCGCAACCCUUAUUGUUAGUUGCCAGCAUUCAGUUGGGCACUCUAGCAAGACUGCCGGUGACAAACCGGAGGAAGGUGGGGAUGACGUCAAAUCAUCAUGCCCCUUAUGACCUGGGCUACACACGUGCUACAAUGGACGGUACAACGAGUCGCGAAACCGCGAGGUCAAGCUAAUCUCUUAAAGCCGUUCUCAGUUCGGAUUGUAGGCUGCAACUCGCCUACAUGAAGUUGGAAUCGCUAGUAAUCGUGGAUCAGCAUGCCACGGUGAAUACGUUCCCGGGCCUU